UACGUAGGGGGCAAGCGUUGUUCGGAAUUACUGGGCGUAAAGGGCGCGUAGGCGGCACGGCAAGUCGGGAGUGAAAGGCCAGGGCUCAACCCAGGAACGGCUUUCGAGACUGCCGAGCUAGAGUGCGGAAGGGGCAACUGGAAUUCCCAGUGUAGCGGUGAAAUGCGUAGAUAUUGGGAAGAACACCGGAGGCGAAGGCGGGUUGCUGGGCCGACACUGACGCUGAGGCGCGAAAGCCAGGGGAGCAAACGGG
RNAcentral lists this ribosomal RNA (253 nucleotides) under uncultured bacterium. RNAcentral describes it as "partial 16S ribosomal RNA". It matches the Rfam family "Bacterial small subunit ribosomal RNA", at positions 524 to 776 of the family's 1533-position model. The record is from RNAcentral.